CUAAGAGCAAAUGGUGGAUGCCUUGGCUAGUAGAGGCGAUGAAAGACGUGCCAGGCUGCGAUAAGUCUCGGGGAGCCGUCAAGGGGCUUUGAUCCGGGAAUUUCUGAAUGGGGCAACCCAGUAUAUAGUGAUAUAUACUACCGCAAUGCGGAGCGAACGUUGGGAAUUGAAACAUCUUAGUACCAACAGGAAAAGAAAUCAAACGAGAUUACGCUAGUAGCGGCGAGCGAAAGCGUAAGAGGGCAAACCACUAGCUUGCUAGUGGGGUUGUAGGACUGCAAUAUAGACUUAAACAAUCUAAUAGAAUAAGUUGGAAAGCUUAAGCAUAGAGGGUGAUACUCCCGUAUAUGAAAGUGCGUUUAUACUUAGCAGUAUCCUGAGUAGGGCGGGACACGUGUAAUCCUGUCCGAAGCUGGGUAGACCACUAUCCAACCCUAAAUACUACUACUAGACCGAUAGUGCACAAGUACCGUGAGGGAAAGGUGAAAAGAACUGAGGUGAUCAGAGUGAAAUAGAACCUGAAACCAUUUGCUUACAAUCAUUCAGAGCCCUAUGAUUUAUCAGGGUGAUGGACUGCCUUUUGCAUAAUGAGCCUGCGAGUUGUGGUGUCUGGCAAGGUUAAGGAAACCCGGAGCCGUAGCGAAAGCGAGUCUUAAUAGGGCGUAUAGUCAGAUGCUGCAGACCCGAAACGAUGUGAUCUAUCCAUGAGCAGGUUGAAACUGGUGUAAGAGCCAGUGGAGGACCGAACAGACGGCCGUUGAAAAGGCUCCUGAUGACUUGUGGAUAGGGGUGAAAGGCCAAUCAAACAUCGUGAUAGCUGGUUCUCUCCGAAAUAUAUUUAGGUAUAGCGUUGUGUAGUAACUUUGUGAGGUAGAGCACUGAAUGGGCUAGGGCAUACACCAAUGUACCAAACCCUAUCAAACUCCGAAUGCGCAAAGUGUAAUCACAGCAGUCAGGCGGCGAGUGAUAAAAUCCGUCGUCGAGAGGGGAACAACCCAGACUAACAGCUAAGGUCCCUAAAUCUCAUUUAAGUGGAAAACGAUGUGGAGUUACUGAAACAACCAGGAGGUUGGCUUAGAAGCAGCCAUCCUUUAAAGAAAGCGUAAUAGCUCACUGGUCUAGUGAUUCUGCGCGGAAAAUAUAACGGGGCUAAAAUGAGUACCGAAGCUUUAGACUUAGUUUUUAACUAAGUGGUAGGAGAGCGUUCUAUUCAGCGUUGAAGGUAUACCGGUAAGGAGUGCUGGAGCGGAUAGAAGUGAGCAUGCAGGCAUGAGUAGCGAUAAAAGGGGUGAGAAUCCCCUUCGCCGUAAACCCAAGGUUUCCUACGCGAUGCUCGUCAUCGUAGGGUUAGUCGGGUCCUAAGCAAAGUCCGAAAGGGGUAUGCGAUGGAAAAUUGGUUAAUAUUCCAAUACCAAUUAUUAUGUGCGAUGGAAGGACGCUUAAAGUUAGUGGAGCUAGCGGAUGGAAGUGCUAGUCUAAGGGCGUAGGUUGAGUUAUAGGCAAAUCCGUAACUCUCUAUCCGAGACCUCAAAGGCUCUUGACGCUCUUCGGAGUAGAUGGAGAAUCCAUGAUACUAUCGAGCCAAGAAAAGUUUCUAAGUUUAGUAAUAAUUGCCCGUACCGUAAACCGACACAGGUGGGUGGGAUGAGUAUUCUAAGGCGCGUGGAAGAACUCUCUUUAAGGAACUCUGCAAAAUAGCACCGUAUCUUCGGUAUAAGGUGUGCCUAACUUUGUAUUAAGAUUUACUCCCAAAGCAAAGAAGGUUACAACAAAGAGUCCCUCCCGACUGUUUACCAUAAACACAGCACUCUGCUAACUCGUAAGAGGAUGUAUAGGGUGUGACGCCUGCCCGGUGCUCGAAGGUUAAUUGAUGGGGUUAGCAUUAGCGAAGCUCUUGAUCGAAGCCCGAGUAAACGGCGGCCGUAACUAUAACGGUCCUAAGGUAGCGAAAUUCCUUGUCGGUUAAAUACCGACCUGCAUGAAUGGCGUAACGAGAUGGGAGCUGUCUCAAAGAGGGAUCCAGUGAAAUUGUAGUGGAGGUGAAAAUUCCUCCUACCCGCGGCAAGACGGAAAGACCCCGUGGACCUUUACUACAGCUUGACACUGCUAUUUGGAUAAAGAUGCGCAGGAUAGGUGGGAGGCUUUGAUCCAUAGACUCUGGUUUAUGGUGAGCCAUUGUUGAGAUACCACUCUUCUUUAUUUGGGUAGCUAACUAGCCUAAGUUAUCCUUAGGUAGGACAAUGUCUGGUGGGUAGUUUGACUGGGGCGGUCGCCUCCCAAAGUGUAACGGAGGCUUACAAAGGUUGGCUCAGAACGGUUGGAAAUCGUUCGUAGAGUAUAAAGGCAUAAGCCAGCUUAACUGCGAGACGUACAUGUCAAGCAGAGACGAAAGUCGGUCUUAGUGAUCCGGUGGUUCUGUGUGGAAGGGCCAUCGCUCAAAGGAUAAAAGGUACCCCGGGGAUAACAGGCUGAUCUCCCCCAAGAGCUCACAUCGACGGGGAGGUUUGGCACCUCGAUGUCGGCUCAUCGCAUCCUGGGGCUGGAGCAGGUCCCAAGGGUAUGGCUGUUCGCCAUUUAAAGCGGUACGCGAGCUGGGUUCAGAACGUCGUGAGACAGUUCGGUCCCUAUCUGCCGUGGGCGUAAGAAGAUUGAGGAGAGUUGACCCUAGUACGAGAGGACCGGGUUGAACCAGCCACUGGUGUAUCAGUUGUUCUGCCAAGAGCAUCGCUGAGUAGCUAAGCUGGGAUGUGAUAAGAGCUGAAAGCAUCUAAGCUCGAAGCCAACUCCAAGAUGAAUCUUCUUUUAAGAGCUCUAGUAGACUACUAGUUUGAUAGGCUGGGUGUGUAAUGGAUGAGAGUCCUUUAGCUGACCAGUACUAAUAGCUCGUUUGCUUAUCUUA
The sequence is a ribosomal RNA, 2899 nucleotides long. It matches the Rfam family "Bacterial large subunit ribosomal RNA".